GCAAAUGGUUAUUUAUGUUUAAUUAUAUUAACUACACUCCUUUCCUUUACAGGGACCCCUCACCAUGACCUCCCGUAUCGCCAUGGGCCCAUAAGACAUCAGGACCUACACCCCCCACCGCCAAGAGCGAUGCUUUUAGCAGCAUCUCCAGCUCCAACACAUGCAUCUGAUGCAUCUGACAGGUCAAUGGAUCGACCUGUCACAUUUAAACAGAGAGCGAUGCUUGAUGCAGCAUCUCCAGCUCCAACAUGUAGAUCUGAUGCAUCUGACCAUUCAAUGGAUCGACCUAUCACAUUCAAACAGAGAGCGAUCCUUGAUGCAGCAUCUCCAGCGCCAACAUGUGCAUCUGAUGCAUCUGACCGUUCAAUGGAUCGACCUGUCACGUUUAAACAGAGAGCGAUGCUUUUAGCAGCAUCUCCAGCUCCAACACAUGCAUCUGAUGCAUCUGACCGUUCAAUGGAUCGACCUGUCACGUUUAAACAGAGAGCAAUGCUUGAUGCUGCAUCUCCAUCUCCAACAUGUACAUCUGAUGCAUCUGACCGUUCAAUGGAUCGACCUGUCACAUUCAAACAGGGAAUGAAGCCAGAGGCAGCAUCUCCAGCUCCAACAUGUGCAUCUGAUGCAUCUGACCAUUCAAUGGAUCGACCUGUGACGUUUAAAAGAAUAAAGCUAGAAGCAGCAUCUCCAGCGCCAACAUGUGCAUCUGAUGCAUCUGACCGUUCAAUGGAUCGACCUGUGACGUUUAAAAGACCAUCACCAGCUCCUACCUCCAUUUCUAUGAGGGGACAUUUGACAAAACAACCACUUUUGUUUAACAGAGGCGAAGAUACUAUUGGCGAGUUAUCAGCCUGCCUGCUGACGGAGGACCACUUCAGAUGUCCAGUGUGUUCAGAUGUGCUGAAGGAGCCGGUCUCCA
RNAcentral lists this long non-coding RNA (916 nucleotides) under Astyanax mexicanus (Mexican tetra). RNAcentral describes it as "lncRNA (ENSAMXG00005003370.1)". The record is from RNAcentral. Lineage: Eukaryota; Metazoa; Chordata; Actinopteri; Characiformes; Acestrorhamphidae.